CCUGGCGGCCAUAGCGCCGUGGAACCACCUGAUCCCAUGCCGAACUCAGAAGUGAAACGCGGUAGCGCCGAUGGUAGUG
RNAcentral lists this ribosomal RNA (79 nucleotides) under Aeromonas salmonicida. RNAcentral also lists the same sequence under 3 other names. Lineage: Bacteria; Pseudomonadati; Pseudomonadota; Gammaproteobacteria; Aeromonadales; Aeromonadaceae. The record is from RNAcentral.